Molecule: ribosomal RNA, 301 nt
Filed under: uncultured bacterium
Lineage: Bacteria
Description: partial 16S ribosomal RNA
Rfam family: Bacterial small subunit ribosomal RNA
Source: RNAcentral
CAGCAGCCGCGGGAAUACGUAGGGGGCAAGCGUUGUCCGGAAUUAUUGGGCGUAAAGCGCGCGCAGGCGGUCAUGUAAGUCUGGUGUUUAAUCCCGGGGCUCAACCCCGGAUCGCACUGGAAACUGGGUGACUUGAGUGCAGAAGAGGAGAGUGGAAUUCCACGUGUAGCGGUGAAAUGCGUAGAGAUGUGGAGGAACACCAGUGGCGAAGGCGACUCUCUGGGCUGUAACUGACGCUGAGGCGCGAAAGCGUGGGGAGCAAACAGGAUUAGAUACCCCAGUAGUCCCUGUCUCUUAUACA